This is a small nucleolar RNA of Suncus etruscus (white-toothed pygmy shrew), 127 nucleotides long. RefSeq annotates it as small nucleolar RNA SNORA51. The record is from RefSeq and is a predicted model, not a curated record. The transcript has a single exon. NCBI's taxonomy places the organism in Eukaryota, Metazoa, Chordata, Mammalia, Eulipotyphla, Soricidae.
UAAAUCAAUUUAUUUAAGCACUGUGGUUGGUUACAAAUUUAUUCUUUGUUGGGUUUCAGUAAAUGCACCCUAUAUACAUCUCAGCCAGGCCCUUUGCCUGGUCUGUAUUGUGAAUGGGUGAACAUGG